Molecule: ribosomal RNA, 504 nt
Filed under: Triticum aestivum (bread wheat)
Lineage: Eukaryota; Viridiplantae; Streptophyta; Magnoliopsida; Poales; Poaceae
Description: partial small subunit ribosomal RNA
Source: RNAcentral
AUGUUUCCUGUGUGCUCUCUUUCUCAGAAAACACACACUCUCUCUCUUCUUUCUCUCGGUCAUAGCACCUCUCUCUUCUUUCACGUCACCUCUUUUCUCAGAAAAACACGCUCUCUCACCUCCCCUCUUUCACUGACACACAAUGAAAAGAUGUGCAGGUUCUCUCUCUUUCCUCCCAAUUCUUCGUGUCUGCAUAGAAAACCAACUCACGUGACUACAGUUGCUGGAACAGUAGCACCUGACAUCCAAGCCCGGUCAAAUCUGGUUAAUGACACUGGCGCAGGCAGGAGGCGGUCACAUGAUGCACAAAUCACCACGCAGAAACUGACGGCCAGGAUAAUGGGUACCGUAGAGCUCCAGCUACACUGCAACUUUCUCUUAAGAGCAACUCCCAAAAUUUCAGAGAAGAGUCAAACUGACAGAUCUAGCAGGUUUUAUCAUUGUCAGAAUAGCAUAAAUGAAAUAUAUGAAAACAUGAUAGAAAAUCUUGAAGCGAAUGGAUAA